AAGAAAUAACUUGGCAGCAGCAUGAAUUACAACUCCUAUUGAUCCAACUAAAAGAGCAAGCAGCAAACGACGCAACUAAGCUAUGAAUAUUGUCAAAUUUUAGAGUCACCUUCUAAAAUCACGUCUCCAUUUUUCAGAAAUAGCUAUAAUAUACAUAUUUACUCCUUGAAGGUUAUAUAUUGUGCUGUGGAUCAUGUUUAUCUGUGGGUAUGUAUGGAAUGGAGGGAUGGCUUUUUAAUACUAUGCCUGACUGGAAUGUUAUUUCAACUAGACAUCAUUCCUUGCACCGAUGAUCAAAACAUUAUCACCUGUGCGCUGCAGAGAAAGAUAUUGACCAUUCCAUAACUUAUGCAUAUAUAUCUUUACCCUUUUAUUAGAAUGCAAGAACCUUUUAUUUUGGAUAAGAUCACACAAUUAGAUCUUAAUUUAUUGAAUCAAAUUCCAUUAUUAAUCCCUUUCUCAAAAAAAUAAUACCAUUAUUAAUCCACUCUUAGGGAUAUUUGUUUUUUUUUUCUUUUUUGGGUUAAUUACACUUUGAGCAGUUUAAAAAUGCAGGAGUGAGGCCAUGCUUGAAGGGAAGGCUGUCAAUGCUUCUCGAGUUCUUAACUACUACAAGCACAUGGUCAUGAUUUGUCAAUAAGCAUUCUUUAAAAAGUUGUAAACCCCCUGCUUGCAAGUGGACAUGAUUUCUUGAUGGUUGAGAAUGUCAAGUGCGGAUUUCAGUGGAAGUUAGUACCAAAAGAGAGAGUUGCUGGUGAGGUGCAAGCUUUCUAUGUAAAGAUUGAAUGGGGAACCCAUUGAAUUGCAAUUGGAUUUUAUGGUUUGAUGGCUUAGGAGAAAUCCAUAGUCCCUCCUCUGACAAUUCGGGAAGCCUUAUCCUUCGUACUUAUGGAAGGCAAGGUGGCUGCACCUGUACUUACCAGUAGCUCUGAGGAUUGCAGCUUUUGUUGUGGAAAGCAAACACUAAGCUGGGAGAUAUAAGCUGUUAAGAAAUAAACAUAUUUACUCCUUCCAGCAGAAGCAAUCUUCUCAACUCCUAAAAAUUCUUCUCAAAUUACAAAAUUUGGAGCUCAACAAUUAUACAUAGUGAUUUACUUUUGCUUCCUACGAAUGUGUGGAGUCAUAAAGAAAUUUGAGUUGUGAUUUUUGAAUGUCAUUUCAACCAGAGAUCUUGCCUUGUAGAGAUGAUCAAAGCAUUGUCACCAAUACACUGCAGAUUAACAGCCACUCUUAGGGCUUUUUUUUGGCUAGUAACUCUAUGGGAAAUUCGGAAAUGCAGCAGUGAGGGCGUGGUUGAAGGGAAGGCUGUCAAUCCAGUUUGCAAUAGGACACAAUUUGUUGAUUGUCAAGAAUGGCAAGUGCUGAUUUCAAUGCAAGUUUUACAUUGGUUAUGCGAUCUAAAGGAGGCUAACCAGUUAUUGUAGAUAUUCUAAACCAUUGAAAACAUGGAAAUGGCGAAGCACUCCCACUCAUUUUGCAAGUCUGAAGCUUUCGGUAGCAAACACCAUGAUGCCAAAAUCCUUUUGUGUCUUCCAUGAAUUUCCUGCCCGUCAGUUCUGAGGAUCAUAAACUACCUAUCAAGCUUGACCUGGUUGCAAAUUGUAAUAUCUAUCCCUUUAAGCAUGUAUAUUAAUGAGAAGGCAUAUUAGGCUUACUAUACAGCUUCAGAUCGUGGUAAUGAUGGAACUUGCAGUCUUUGAAAUCCUGACUCAGACUGUUCAAUGGUGAAAAUUCUUACUACUUGA
Molecule: long non-coding RNA, 1745 nt
Organism: Quercus lobata
Lineage: Eukaryota; Viridiplantae; Streptophyta; Magnoliopsida; Fagales; Fagaceae
Exons: 8
Source: RefSeq, a predicted model, not a curated record